RNAcentral lists this ribosomal RNA (455 nucleotides) under uncultured Alteromonadaceae bacterium. Its description in RNAcentral is "bacterial SSU rRNA". It matches the Rfam family "Bacterial small subunit ribosomal RNA", at positions 1077 to 1532 of the family's 1533-position model. Lineage: Bacteria; Pseudomonadati; Pseudomonadota; Gammaproteobacteria; Alteromonadales; Alteromonadaceae. The record is from RNAcentral.
UGGGUAGUCCGCACGAGCGCAACCCUUUGNUCCUUAGUUGCCAGGCAUUUAGUUUGGGCACUCUNCCGNUACUGCCGGUGACAAACCGGAGGAAGGUGGGGACGACCCCAAGUCAUCAUGGCCCUUACGUGUAGGGCUACACACGUGCUACAAUGGCAUUUACAGAGGGAAGCGAGACAGUGAUGUGGAGCGGACCCCUUAAAGAAUGUCGUAGUCCGGAUUGGAGUCUGCAACUCGACUCCAUGAANUCGGAAUCGCUAGUAAUCGCAAGUCAGAAUAUUGCGGUGAAUACGUUCCCGGGCCUUGUACACACCGCCCGUCACACCAUGGGAGUGGGAUGCAAAAGAAGUAGUUAGUUUAACCUUCGGGAGAACGAUUACCACUUUGUGUUUCAUGACUGGGGUGAAGUCGUAACAAGGUAACCCUAGGGGAACCUGGGGUUGGAUCACCUCCUU